CCCUUAGAUGUUCUGGGCCGCACGCGUGCUACACUGAGUGGAUCAGCGGGUCAGGUUGCGCGAAAGUGUUUCCUAAUCUUGAAAUCCGCUCGUGAUGGGGAUUGACGGUUGCAAUUUUCCGUCAUGAACGAGGAAUACCUUGUAAGCGCGGGUCAUCAUCCCGCGCUGAAUACGUCCCUGCCCUUUGUACACACCGCCCGUCGCUCCUACCAAUUGAGUGGUCCGGUGAGGCUUUGGGAUCUGAGCAAAAAGAGCGUUUCGCUCGUUUGGCUCGGAAAACUCAGUCGAACCUUAUCAUUUAGAGGAAGGAGAAGUCGUAACA
This 322-nucleotide ribosomal RNA is filed under the name uncultured eukaryote. Its description in RNAcentral is "partial 18S ribosomal RNA". It matches the Rfam family "Eukaryotic small subunit ribosomal RNA", at positions 1470 to 1796 of the family's 1831-position model. The record is from RNAcentral.